UUUCCGUAGGUGAACCUGCGGAAGGAUCAUUAUCGUAAAAAAAAAAUGUGCGAGGCGUGCAAGGGCUGUCGCUGACUUUUGACACAAAAGUCGUGCACGCCAGAGUGUGUCCUCUCACACAAAAUCCAUCUCACCCUUUUGUGCACCACCGCGUGGGCACCCUUCGGGAUCAAACCGAUCCAGGAGGGGGCUUGCGUUCUCACACAAACCCCCUUUUUAAAAGUGUAGAAUGACCCCAUUUUUGCGAUAACACGCAAUCAAUACAACUUUCAACAACGGAUCUCUUGGCUCUC
RNAcentral lists this unclassified non-coding RNA (293 nucleotides) under plant metagenome. RNAcentral describes it as "partial contains small subunit ribosomal RNA, internal transcribed spacer 1, and 5.8S ribosomal RNA". The record is from RNAcentral.